Molecule: long non-coding RNA, 635 nt
Filed under: Spirodela polyrhiza (greater duckweed)
Lineage: Eukaryota; Viridiplantae; Streptophyta; Magnoliopsida; Alismatales; Araceae
Description: long non-coding RNA (SPOL_LNC001986)
Source: RNAcentral
GGUUCCAUCCAAACAUGAUUACACGAAGGAGAUUAUAAUACGAAGAUAAAAAUAAAGGAGAAACUCUAGACAAAAGGGAAAGGUUACGAAAAGAAAUGAAAAAGGGGCAGUCAAAAUUUUAAAGUUUAGGCAAAAUGAAUAUAAAGACCACGGUCACAUUUCAUGGUCAUGAUUCAAUGCCAAUUUCAGUACAAAAUAGUGUACUCUCUUGUUUCAAUUUACUUGGAACAAAACAACGAUGGUGCUAUUGAAUCAGAUAUUGGCUUUGUGACACUAUCAUGCUGCUGACUGUUAAAAGCACCAAGAUGAUUAAUGAUCAGAGGAAUGUCGAAAAAUAAGCAUACCAUGACAAGUGGUGAGCAUACAGUAUCACCGUGAAUAGUGUAAGUAAUACCCUUCUUUAUGAGAGGAACAAUAAGUUUUAAGAUUUUAGCAAUUACACAUGAUGUGGCUCAAACGACAUGACAAAAAACUGACGAAUGCCAUAUUUUCCAUAUCAGACAAAAUCAACAACGUUACAGAGAUAAACUAUGAGACGCAUAUACUGGGAAAUAUUCUUAUUUUCAGAGCAGCCAUACUAAAAGAAACAGAGGGAGAUACUGAAGCCAACAUUAACACAUUACAGACAAAUAUGC